GAAACCUCGUCCGUUUGAAAGCUACUUGGUUUGAAGGAGGAUGGGUCGGCCAGAGAUAAGCACCUUUUCAUCAGCAGAGAGCAACAGAACGUUUCGCCAUCAACCCUCAUUUCUCAUGUUUCUUAUGUGAACAUUACUCCCUCGAUCUCUAUUUAUAGUAUCAUAUUUUCCUGCAGUACGAAUAGCAGCUGGACUCUGUGUUCAAAUAACCAACAUAAUGAGAUACUACAGAAUCCGAGAACAGUUUCUUGCAGGAUGCUAAAUUUCAUGGGACGAUCCAUCUGUUGAUGUUUCUCCUCGGACCCUUUUUUUGCACACCGACACAUUGAAAAUGGAAAGAGGGAAAACCUCCCUCUUUCCAUUUAGAAUGCUUGCCAGCUUCUAGGUGGAGAGUGAACAGCACGACUGAAUAGUAUAAAAGUGGUAACCCCCCCCUUUCUAUUUCCAGCUCUAACUCAGCACUUUGCCGCUUCUCUCCCGUCAACGUUGUUCUCUGCACUCACAUCCACUUUGGAUGUUGUUGUUCAAUCAGCAGAUAACCGAUCAUCUCUGGAGCACAACCCCUCGUUCGCUUUCUGUCCUCCUCCGUCUCACCCGUAAUGAUCCAUCUCACGAGUCGGAUCAACACGUCCGUGACUCUGGAGAUGUCAGAGCGGCGUGGUCUGCGGGCGGAGAUGUUCCAGCUGGGACAGACUGGCUGGAGGAGCGUGAAAUAUCUCACCAACCUGCAUUAAUCCACCACUUUGUGUUGAGGAGCAUAGAGCACCUUUGGACGAAGCUAAUCUUACAUCUUCCUUUAACUUGUCUUGUUUUUGAGGUGUUGGAUUAAACUUUUCAUCCGAGUUUCUCGUUUGCGUCCGACGGAGAGUGUUAAUGAAUGGAGCUCGCUGCUGCGCCGCUCCGCGUCUGCAAAAGAUCACGGGGACGCUCCUGCAUCAGUGAGGCGCUGGGCGGGUUUUGACCCCACGAGACCUCUUUCAGCUCAUAUGAUACCACGUCAAACCUCCGUAACCCAUUUCAUCGCGAAACACACACACACACACACACACUGGAAAACAACACCCCACCUUCUGUCGAAAGCACUUGAGUCGAGAUGCGCAGCGUGAAAGUAGAAUUCCGGCUAUCUUUCCAUCCCUUUGAUACAGCCACUCUCGCUCCCUCCAAAGGGCCUCUCGCACGGAUGCUUUGUGCAGGGGAGUGAACAGGACCUCCUCUGCUUCCAUUAAACCUCGGCGUGACACGCAGGGCGACGCUUUCAUCUGUGAGGGGCCGGCCCGGAGGAUCCAGUGGGACGGAGCUCAGGCGCAGCAAUCGGCCUGCUGCAUCGGACGCCUCCUGUAUCCAUCAGCAGGGUUUUAAGAGAGACGUGACUUCCUGAUUGAAGUGCGAGCUCAGCCCUGAAAAGCCCUCCAGCCAUUUGACAGGAUUUCACGGGCAGGGACCUCGGUUGCAUCACCCAUCUUUCAUGGCUGCUGCAGUCCAAUUUUCUACGGCCUUCCUGUCAGAAUCACAGAGAGAAAAAAACAUCCACAAACAAGUUGGAAGUGUGGAUGUGAUAUCAGUUCAGACUUCAGGGUCCUCAUUAGCAAACGGCCCAGACAGACCCGACAGUUCUGACACCAACUCUGUCUCAUCAUCGUCCUUGAGAAUAAAAACAACAUUAUUCCUCUAAAAAAGUGUGUGUCCCCCCC
Gasterosteus aculeatus aculeatus (three-spined stickleback) is the source of this 1691-nucleotide long non-coding RNA. The record is from Ensembl. NCBI's taxonomy places the organism in Eukaryota, Metazoa, Chordata, Actinopteri, Perciformes, Gasterosteidae.